RNAcentral lists this ribosomal RNA (390 nucleotides) under uncultured bacterium. RNAcentral describes it as "bacterial SSU rRNA". It matches the Rfam family "Bacterial small subunit ribosomal RNA", at positions 30 to 422 of the family's 1533-position model. The record is from RNAcentral.
AUUGAACGCUGGCGGCAUGCCUUACACAUGCAAGUCGAACGGCAGCACGGGGCAACCUGGUGGCGAGUGGCGAACGGGUGAGUAAUGCAUCGGAACGUGCCAUUGAGUGGGGGAUAACGUAGCGAAAGUUGCGCUAAUACCGCAUAUUCUGUGAGCAGGAAAGCAGGGGACCGCAAGGCCUUGCGCUCUUUGAGCGGCCGAUGUCAGAUUAGCUAGUUGGUGAGGUAACGGCUUACCAAGGCGACGAUCUGUAGCGGGUCUGAGAGGAUGAUCCGCCACACUGGAACUGAGACACGGUCCAGACUCCUACGGGAGGCAGCAGUGGGGAAUUUUGGACAAUGGGCGCAAGCCUGAUCCAGCCAUGCCGCGUGAGUGAAGAAGGCCUUCGGG